UGAUGACAUGUGUACUUAUCA
This 21-nucleotide non-coding RNA is filed under the name Arabidopsis thaliana (thale cress). The record is from RNAcentral. Lineage: Eukaryota; Viridiplantae; Streptophyta; Magnoliopsida; Brassicales; Brassicaceae.